GAGGGGGAGCAGCAAAAAAUUAACUCGCCAGUGCUUCGUUCCUCGCUAGCGAGGAGCUCGUGGAUCGAGGACACAUGCACGCUGCACUCUACGGGUGGUUGUCAGAAGGGUACAUGGAAGUAAACUUUCAGCACGUUAGGGGUGAUGGAAGCAUCCUUCGGGGCAGGGCAGGUUAGGUCGGCGAUGAAUGAUGUAGAAUUCUUAGGGCCAGUUUGGGAGCCCGGAUCCCCGCCUUUUCCCCAGGCAGGAGGCCCGCGUGGAAACUUGACCCGACCCGCGAGUUUUCCACGGGGAGGCUCUUCGCCAUCUCUUGAGUCCGGGCGCAUCUCCCCGCCGGUCGCGACACGCGAGCGACGCGAGCCGAGCGCCGCGCCGCCGCCACGCCGCCUGCUCCGCUCCCCUGCUCGCGCUGCCGUUCCACCUCCGCUCCUCGGCUCGGCGCUGCCGCUCCGCCUCCUCAUCCAGACGCCACCCCCUGCAGCUCCCUGCUCCCCGUUGGCGACGCCCCUCCGCUUCCGCACCCCUCGGCGUCUCGAUCUGCGACGGCGCCAUCACCUCGGCCGCCGCCUCCACAGCCACCACGGUGCCUCCACUUCAUCUUCCUCCUCGUCAUAUAUCUUGUUGAUCUUGGUGACUUUUCGUCUGAUUGGUUGCCACCUCCAAGAUUCACUACUUGCUGAUCUCUUCACUCGACAUUGUUGGCCCAAGUAAGCUCCAAUUCUUCUGGUUGCUGAGGAAAAUUGCUUCUCUGUCAAGCAAUCGAGCAAGUACCUAUGCAUAUUAAAUAUGUCAUUCUCUGUAAUUAACAGGUACAGUUGCUGAUUGCAACUAAACUUCAUUUUCAACUUUAACUACAAUUUCAGCUGACUGGUCUUUGAGUUAUGCUAUCCACACCUGGAAUCUGUUGGCCAUCGUCAUUGUCAUUUCACUAAUGGCUUAUGGGAUUACAACAGCGAGGGGAUUCUUGAGGGACUCGACUACCUGAUAUUGCAUGGUUUUGUCAUCACUUUCCGGAUCUGCAUAGAUGCUAGUUUGACCUUGCUCUAAAUUAUGUUCAUUGACAUUAUUUGAGUCUCUUUUAAAUUUGAAAACAUCAUGUAUCUUGCUAUGUGAUGGCAUAUUGUCUUGGUGACAUUAUUUGAGUAUCUUUUGUAUGGUUGUGAAGCAUAGGGUUAGACAGCAAUGAAUUUGUGAUGUUGAUUCAAAAGAUAUUAUGGUCUUGUAAUGAUCCUAUUAUUGACCCAUUAUGAGAUAUUAUGUUAUUGUCGUUUUCUGA
RNA transcript from Panicum hallii, 1276 nucleotides. It is a transcript of the gene named lysine-rich arabinogalactan protein 19-like, with no coding region annotated. The record is from RefSeq and is a predicted model, not a curated record. Lineage: Eukaryota; Viridiplantae; Streptophyta; Magnoliopsida; Poales; Poaceae. The transcript has 4 exons.